Molecule: transfer RNA, 72 nt
Filed under: Ficedula albicollis (Collared flycatcher)
Lineage: Eukaryota; Metazoa; Chordata; Aves; Passeriformes; Muscicapidae
Rfam family: tRNA
About the family: Transfer RNA (tRNA) molecules are approximately 80 nucleotides in length. Their secondary structure includes four short double-helical elements and three loops (D, anti-codon, and T loops). Further hydrogen bonds mediate the characteristic L-shaped molecular structure. tRNAs have two regions of fundamental functional importance: the anti-codon, which is responsible for specific mRNA codon recognition, and the 3' end, to which the tRNAs corresponding amino acid is attached (by aminoacyl-tRNA synthetases). tRNAs cope with the degeneracy of the genetic code in two manners: having more than one tRNA (with a specific anti-codon) for a particular amino acid; and 'wobble' base-pairing, i.e. permitting non-standard base-pairing at the 3rd anti-codon position.
Source: Rfam by way of RNAcentral
GGGGAUGUAGCUCAGCGGGAUAGUGUUUGUUUUCCAUGCAAGAGGCCGUGGGAUCCACGCUCAGCAUCUCCG